AUAUCUGCAGGGACUUCAGCUCAUGGAACUUAGAAGGGGAAUUAAUUGAUAGAAGGACAUCCAGAAUCUCGUCAUGUGUUUCCUGUUGUUUUGGCCAGCACCAGGCUUAUGUUAUGUACAACCUCAGUUAUGCCUUCCAUUUCAAUCUCCAUAAAACUGAUCUGCCACCAACCUGAAAUGGCUUACAAUGUGCAGGAGCAGCAGUAGCAAAGGUGGCACCAUGCAGAAGGGAGCAAGGCACAAGCAGGUAAGAGACAGUCCACAAGACCUAGGGUGGUUUGGUUUGGUUUGGUUUCAGACUGGUGAUACUGCCUAAGGAGGAAGGGAAGGGGCCU
This is a long non-coding RNA of Numida meleagris (helmeted guineafowl), 335 nucleotides long. RefSeq lists it as uncharacterized. NCBI's taxonomy places the organism in Eukaryota, Metazoa, Chordata, Aves, Galliformes, Numididae. The transcript has 3 exons. The record is from RefSeq and is a predicted model, not a curated record.